Molecule: ribosomal RNA, 91 nt
Filed under: Salinivibrio proteolyticus
Lineage: Bacteria; Pseudomonadati; Pseudomonadota; Gammaproteobacteria; Vibrionales; Vibrionaceae
Also listed under: 2 other names
Source: RNAcentral
CACCUGACUCCAUGCCGAACUCAGUAGUGAAACGAAGCAGCGCCGAUGGUAGUGUGGGGUCUCCCCAUGUGAGAGUAGGACAUCGCCAGGC